GAGGAUUACAAUGAAACUAACUAUGCGGAACAGAUAAGCCCAGAUUGAAGUGGUACCUUCUGCCUCUGCCCUGAUCAUAAAAGCCCUCAAGGAGCCACCAAGAGACAGAAGGAAACAGAAAAACAUUAAACACAGUGGAAAUAUCACUUUUGAUAAAUUGUCAACAUUGCCCUACAGAUGCAUCACCAAACCCUUAGCUAGAGAACUUUCUGGAACCAUUAAGGAGAUUCUGGGGACUGCCCAACUCUGUGGGUUGUAAUGUUGAUGGCCGCCACCCUCUUGACAUCAUAGAUGACAUCAAUGGUGGUGCAGUGGAGUGUCCAGCUAGUUAAGAAAUACAUGAGAGAUUUUCUUUUCCACAGUUAAGUACAUGAGAGAAUAUUUUAAUAAAGGAUCAUCUGACAACCGAAAAAAAAAAAAAACAGAAAUUGUUUCUUUAGACAUUG
This 446-nucleotide long non-coding RNA is filed under the name Marmota monax (woodchuck). The record is from RNAcentral. Lineage: Eukaryota; Metazoa; Chordata; Mammalia; Rodentia; Sciuridae.